This is a non-coding RNA of Dermacentor andersoni, 3045 nucleotides long. The record is from RefSeq and is a predicted model, not a curated record. Lineage: Eukaryota; Metazoa; Arthropoda; Arachnida; Ixodida; Ixodidae.
AGUUACAAUCUUGGCAAUGUAAGGAAAGAUUAGAAGGCGAUCCACCGGUUAACGACCUUUUAUGUUCCAUUAGCCUCUGAUUGAUACACCGUCCUGUUUGCCCAAGGUAGAACUGGCCACAGCUAAGGGGAAUUUUAUAAACCACACCCAUACGACAAUCAGUAAAACUGUUUUUCUUAUUGUGCUUCAUUGAACAAAUAUGUGUUCGUUUUUUGCCUUUUACCUGCUCCUUUUUCCUAUGUACGGCAGCGCAUAUCUUACCUAGCUUAUUGGGAGCAGUGAAAGCAACAUUAACAUCACCUCUACUUGCAACUUUUUAAAAAAAGCCUGUGCGACAGCCUGAAUGAAUAUACGGAAUAGCCACUACUCUUCUUUUUUUUUUUUUGCUAUUACUGCUUUCCGUAAUCACGUCCGUCCCCCUCGAAACCGACUUCUUUAGGCGCUCAGCCACAGUGGCCACUGCUUCACUAGGAUAACCUGCUUCUAAUAGGCGCCGGACCUGCACAUUAAAACUGGCGCUCAUUUUGUGCAUGCAUGAUUCUGGUGAGAGAAGACUUAAGGCACAACAUGGCAAUUCCAUUUUUUACUACAUUGGAAUGCUUGGAUUGAAAGUUUAGCAAUGGCUUCGAAGAUCUUUGGGAGUACUGCCAGCAAACAUGAUUUUGUUCGAAGGCCAAGGAAAUGUCAAGCACCAGCGCAGAAGACUCGUUCUUCUGACCUCGUCUUGUUAUCCACGACUUCGGGUACACUUUUACUGUUCACCCCUUUUUUCCUUAUUUUAUUUUUUCUUUACGAUUUAUUUAAUUUAUUCCCGCCCCCUCUAUUGUAUGGGAGAGGCAAGCGAAGGUGGUGAGGACUCGUUCAGCGACUGCGUCGGUUCUACCCAUAUUCUCCCUCCCCUCCUCUCUUCCAGUCUAGCUUCCCUCUGGCCUUACACAUUCAUAAACGUGCAGGCGCUGCUUUUGCGGGAUAUCACGCGGAUCCAUUUCACCGGGGAGCUCGAGAUGGUAUUUUGCACAUUGGACACGGUGCAAAGUUCGGAAGCGUGUCUCGGUCUCCUUUAUUCUCUGCCAUCCAUGCUCUUUCCGAGAAUAUACACCCUCUGAACCACCAUGACUCAGCCUGCAAUACCGCAGCCCAUCGAAAUUGAAGUGUCGUUUCGCGCCGGUCAUACCUUCUCCGAAUUGAGAAGGGAGGGGAAAGGGGUACAUGUUCGUCCAGUAUGUCAGAACAAAGGAAAACUUCGACACAAGUUUAUCUGCCUCCUGCGGUUCGAGGGAGAGGAGAAAAUCGUAGAACGAGGACACGCCUACGUUGAAGAGCCAACCAAGCGUGACCGUAAGUGGGCAUGUGCCAAAUACUUUCAAGGUCGUCAACAUAGUAAAAAAAGCAAUGCCCAUGCCUUCUGCGGUAGCACACUUCACGAGCACGCCAUAAAACAAGCCGCUGCACAGCAAACGGCAGCUACUCGACCAUCGAAGAUCUACUGAAGUCGCGCUCCCUACGAUACACUCCGCCAACUGCGCUUGUGCCUCGAGGAUGGCGUCUUCGGGCCGUGCUUCCACCUCCGCUGCUGCUGGACUCGAACCUAGUCUGUACGGCUACGCCAUGCUUAUGGGAGUCGGUUGCAAGCUGCCGACGAGCACCAGCAGCAGCGACGACAGCAGCAGUAGCAGCAGCGACGACAGCAGCAGUAGCAGCUCUUCCAGCAGUGACAGCGACGUCGCGCCGGCCGGCCCGUCCAAGUCAAAGGACAUCGAAAGCGUGCCGUCCACUUCCAGCGCCGCAGCCGUCGUCGUUGGGAGCGAGCCACCGGCCGGCCCGUCCCAGUCGAGAGACAUCGAACGCGUGCCGUCCACCUCCGGCGCCGCAGCAGCCGUCGUUGGGAGCGAGCCACCGGCCGGCCCGUCCCAGUCGAGAGACAUCGAAAGCCUGCCGUCCACCUCCGGCGCCGCAGCCGUCGUCGUUAGGAGCGAGCCAAAGGUCUGGAUUCAGCCAAACCUCGUCCGUCCGGCGGACUUUCCUAGUGACCACUGGGACAUGGUUCAUGACUGGAGCGAUUGGCCCCAGUUCCCUCCCAAAAAGAACGCGAAUCAGCAUCGGGCGAUCGUGGACAGUCUGCCGGCCAAGCUUCCCCAUGUCACCCUCGUCAACCAGCACGAGUUCCCGCUGCGUAGGAUGGAACUGCUGAUACACACCCAGGGCAGGCGAGUGUUUUUUACAGCCGACGUGUUUUCGCGCCGUAGUGCACGAGGGCGAUCUCAAAACGGUUCGCAUUCAGAAGCGUUGCAAUAUCGCACUCCACAGGGCAGCGUGCUGGCUUCCGUUGUUGGCAUGAGCGUUCCGAGCACGCAUUAGCGUUCCUGCCGAGAAGCCUCACAUGCCACAUCGUGGUGUACAUGCUGGUCUGAAAAAAAAAAAAAAAGAAGCAGUGGGCAGUAAACACGCGAACGAUAAUCACUCUCAUUUGGCGAAGGCAUCCAUGCAGUUUAAACCGAUUCAGCAGUGCUGAGAGCAAGCUGGUUGGGUCGCCCAUUUUCGCAACUACAGGCAGCGCGUUAUUGAGAUACGAGGAACAAUCGCCUAUGCACGACCCACGCAUAUUGCUGUCUGUUCAUGUCUUUCUCAGCAUGGCAUCGUGCAAUCAUCGUCUUUUAGCUGCUCGUUUCGACACGUGCAUGCGUAUCCAUCGCGUGACAACGGUGUUCGUCAAAAAUAACCGUGCCUCGACUAUCUCCCUCGCAUGCAGGUUCAUGAACCCAGCGCCUGAGUUUCGGAUUACAAACUUGGUGGAUAAGUGGCAGUACACGGCCUGGCUCACCUUCACGGAUUCCACUGGGCACCAAUGCGUUGGUCAGUACUGCCACCCGGAUUCACCGCGGCCCGGUUUUUGGUUGAAGGGCCGGGUGCUGUCGUUUUCCAACCUCAAGCUCUUCUCCAACGAGAACAACAUCCCGAACCCGCCUCCGAUCAGCCUGAGGUGUUACCGCACUUACCGUAUCCAAGUGAAUGUUGGAAUUGUGGACGAUUACGGACACAUCAUCA